GCGCAUGCGCACUUUGCCCUCGGGGGCGGGCCUUUGUGCCGGUGCCUGGGGGCGUUCGGCCUUCGCAGAGCAGGUCGCGGGGUCAGGAGCGGGGUGUGGCUUGGCUUUAGUAUUUGCCCUGGAGACCUAAUAUUUGCGCAGGUUUCGCGAAGGGACAGUCUCCUACGAGGAUAUUAGUAGCAGUGUUUUUUAAACUGAAGAAAGUCAAGAAGAGGUAGGAGAUAAAUGCAGUAAGGAUGCUGAUACUCUUAAUGGAACUGAAAUCUAACAAGAGCACAGGCUCCGGACGCGCAGGCUCAGUGGCCAUGGCUCACGGGCCCAGCCGCUCCGCGGCACGUGGGAUCUUCCCGGACCCGUGUCCCCUGCAUCGGCAGGCGGUCUCUCAACGACUGCGCCACCAGGGAAGCCCUAAGUGUUCUCAGGCAACCUCCGGAGGAAUCCAGCACAUGCGGAAUAUCUCCAGCCACCCCACAGCACAUCCCCAGAGCUUCAGCUCAAGAGGUACUGCCAUUCCUGCAGGGAACCUCAGCACAGUGUGGAACAGGUGGGGUUGCUUCUGAAGACUCCAGAGCUCCAAAGAACUUGCCUGAACCUCUUAGUCCUGCUUCCCAAAAGAAAAAUGAAUUCUAUCUUCGUUCUUUUCUUUCUAAUUUCCAAACAGUAAUAGUAUUUCAUAACACUUCCAAAUUUUACUCCCAGCAACCUGUGGCCUCAACUCCCUUCCCAGUUAUGCUGUCAGAAAGACUUAAUUAUGCUUAUUUCGCAGCAGUAAUUUUUGUGCAGUCUGACUGGCCUGUAAUGCCCCUUUGCUUGGAACUCUGAUGCUGUGAUUUUCCUCCUGAAAUCCAAAUUGUCUUUGGAAAAGACAACCGGUUUCUCACCCAAGCCAUGUCCAAACAGGUCUGGUCCCCAGACCGUAUCUGGCAUGAAAAGAGGUUCAGUGCAGUGCACAAUAGAUGACUGUAGUCUAAUUUUAGACCAGAUGGUUCUCAAGAACAUGUUUCUUCUCUGUUGACCCCGCUUCUUAUCCCCAUCAGACCACCUCCUCAGGGAGGGACCCUAACAGGCAUCAAGAACAUACAGGAAGGAACAUAGGAUUUUCCUAAAACACAUAUAUGAUCCUGCUAUCCUCCUGAUUAAGACACUUUAAUGGCUUAGUACACUCUGCAAGAUGAAGUCCAAACUCUUUAAUCAUGCAACAAAGCCCUCCUUGUUGGGACUCUUUCCUACCUCCCCAGCCUCCUCCCCUGCCACACCUCUUACCAUGCUGCAAUGGCACCAACAUCUCUGCAGUUUUUUCUGAAAACACCAGAUGGGUUCAGGCGUGUGAUCUCUAUACCAAAAUGGCUAGUUCUCCUAUCCUCAUCUCUGUUCACCUUGCCAAUGCGUACUCAAACAAAGUCUCACCUGAACCCCCCAAAUGGAAUUGUCCACUCUUUCCUUUGUGACUCCCAAUACUGUCCACCCCUCCAGCACAAAGCUUGUAACAUGUUGCUGUACUUUUUGUUUACAUGGCUAAACAAAAGGCACCUGGGGGCAAGGACUAUGUCUUAGCUAUCAUUGACCCUCCUUUGCCUAUCAAGAUGUCUGGUGCAUGAAUAAGCAUUUUGUUUGUUGAUGAAGGAAGGAAGAAUAGACGGGUAUUACAGAUGUAGAGUGAAGCCCCAAUCUUAAUCAACUUACCAUUCUCCUCCUUAUCUUAUUUGGAGAUAUUUAGAAAUCUAAACAUGAGGGACGUUCUGGGACGUUUUGGUGGCCGGGAAGGUAGAGCAAACCAGAUGGACCUAGAGUAAAGAAACAAGUCUCUGAUGCUUAAGGAGAAGUGAACAAAGGGAUCUUCAAAUAUCCUUUUAGAUUUCCCAGCUUAGCCCAGCAGGGAAGGACAGGAAAGGAGGCAGGAUUCAGGGUAAAAGCCUCUCUCUGGAAUAAGUUUCCAUGUGACUGGAGUAUUUCUCGUACUGUUUCUUAUGAAAGCAUGAUGCAAAGAGCGAUAAAGUGAGAACUCAAACUUUAUUCCCUUUAAAGCUAGAAAGAGAGGUUCCUGGAUCAUUACUUGGGCCCACAGUUUUUUAAUGACUCAGGAAAAUGCUGCAGAAUCUGAAAUUAUUGGGAUGAUUUAUCUUUGAUUUAUAGAAUCUAGGGAAGACUUCUCUCACAGGCUUGAUCCUUUAGAAAAGGAUUAUACUUCAUAUGGAACAGACUUAAUAAUUGGGGUUAUAGUACCAGUGAUUUUAAAAAAAGAGUACAGGCUCCAUCUCCAGUAAUAUCUGAGUAUUUAUUAACAGACCAACCUAUGUGCACACGCGUGCAUACACACACACUCAUACACAUGUGCACACAAACACACACACUUGUCAAAAUGUGUUUUAGGGCUUCCCUGGUGGCUCAGUGGUUGUGCGUCCGCCUGCCGAUGCAGGGGAACCGGGUUCGCGCCCCGGUCCGGGAAGAUCCCACAUGCCGCGGAGCGGCUGGGCCCGUGAGCCGUGGCCGCUGAGCCUGCGCGUCCGGAGCCUGUGCUCCGCAACGGGAGAGGCCGCAGCAGAGGGAGGCCCGCAUACCACAAAAAAAAAAAAAAAAAAAAAAAUGUGUUUUAAAAAAAUGCUAUCUAAAGACAUUGGAGAGCUAUUAUAAGCAAGAAGCUACUGGAGAGAGUUAAUACAUGGUAGAAGAGUUUCCAGAUUUUAUAGUUUUCAGACUUUAGUCUGCACCAGGCAGAGUGGCUAAAACUCCAGUAUGAAACCCACAGUCUUACUGGAGAAGAACCAGAAUAUGGGGCAAGCACAGCAGUAAAAAGUUAAGGGGAAUUCCCAAAAGGGCAGAGACCAAGAGGGGGAACCCCAACUGCCUACAGCUCUGACUGAACUUUGAACCACACUUACACAGGGCAGACACCAAGCCACCUAGUAAAGCUAGAAGAGCUGAAAUGAGAUUUGAGCGGUUACCCUUAACAUGGGAAACAUUAAAAGGACAGUAAGGGGCUUCCCUGGUGGCGCAGUGGUUGAGAGUCCGCCUGCCGAUGCAGGGGACACGGGUUCGUGCCCCGGUCCGGGAGGAUCCCACAUGCCACGGAGCGGCUGGGCCCGUGAGCCAUGGCCGCUGGGCCUGCGCGUCCGGAGCCUGUGCUCCACAACGGGA
Physeter macrocephalus (sperm whale) is the source of this 3135-nucleotide RNA transcript. It is a transcript of the gene named hydroxyacid oxidase 2, with no coding region annotated. NCBI's taxonomy places the organism in Eukaryota, Metazoa, Chordata, Mammalia, Artiodactyla, Physeteridae. The record is from RefSeq and is a predicted model, not a curated record. The transcript is spliced from 6 exons.